CGUAUGGUGCAAGCGUUGUUCGGAUUUACUGGGCGUAAAGAGCGCGCAGGCGGAUGGAUAAGUCGGGUGUGAGAUCUCCAGGCUCAACCUGGAUGCUGCAUCCGAAACUGUCAAUCUGGAGUCCCGGAGAGGCAGACGGAAUACUUGGUGUAGCGGUGAAAUGCGUAGAUAUCAAGUGGAACACCGAUGGCGAAGGCAGUCUGCUGGACGGUGACUGACGCUGAGGCGCGAAAGCGUGGGGAGCAAACAGGAUUAGAUACCCCAGUAGUCC
This 271-nucleotide ribosomal RNA is filed under the name uncultured bacterium. Its description in RNAcentral is "partial 16S ribosomal RNA". It matches the Rfam family "Bacterial small subunit ribosomal RNA", at positions 526 to 796 of the family's 1533-position model. The record is from RNAcentral.